RNAcentral lists this transfer RNA (85 nucleotides) under Felis catus (domestic cat). RNAcentral describes it as "tRNA-Gln (TTG) (tRNA-Gln-TTG-10-1)". It matches the Rfam family "tRNA". From Rfam's summary of the family: Transfer RNA (tRNA) molecules are approximately 80 nucleotides in length. The record is from Rfam by way of RNAcentral. Lineage: Eukaryota; Metazoa; Chordata; Mammalia; Carnivora; Felidae.
GCCUGGGUGGCUCAGUCGGUUGAGUGUCUGACUUUGGCUCAGGUCAUGAUCUCACGGUUUGUGGGUUCGAGCCCCACGUCAGGCU